This 219-nucleotide long non-coding RNA is filed under the name Vigna radiata. Its description in RNAcentral is "long non-coding RNA (VRAD_LNC000665)". The record is from RNAcentral. Lineage: Eukaryota; Viridiplantae; Streptophyta; Magnoliopsida; Fabales; Fabaceae.
GGGUGGAAUUUUUUUUCCCUUUGUUAAAGGAAUCCAAAUAUCAUUUUUUUUAUUAAUUACAAUUACGACAAGGUAUUUCAUAUACAAGGUUAAUAAUCAAAUCCUUACAGAUUUUCAUAAAAGAAUAAUUAUUUAUUUUUAUUUUUUUUAUUCAAAUGGUCUCAUUUAUAUAUACUUGUUUUUUAUUAUUUUUUAUUUCCUUAACUUUGUUAAUCCCUC